GAUGAACGCUGGCGGCGUGCCUAAUACAUGCAAGUCGAGCGAACAGACGAGGAGCUUGCUCCUCUGACGUUAGCGGCGGACGGGUGAGUAACACGUGGAUAACCUACCUAUAAGACUGAGAUAACUUCGGGAAACCGGAGCUAAUACCGGAUAAUAUAUUGAACCGCAUGGUUCAAUAGUGAAAGACGGUUUUGCUGUCACUUAUAGAUGGAUCCGCGCCGCGUUAGCUAGUUGGUAAGGUAACGGCUUACCAAGGCAACGAUGCGUAGCCGACCUGAGAGGGUGAUCGGCCACACUGGAACUGAGACACGGUCCAGACUCCUACGGGAGGCAGCAGUAGGGAAUCUUCCGCAAUGGGCGAAAGCUUGACGGAGCAACGCCGCGUGAGUGAUGAAGGUCUUCGGAUCGUAAAACUCUGUUAUUAGGGAAGAACAAAUGUGUAAGUAACUAUGCACGUCUUGACGGUACCUAAUCAGAAAGCCACGGCUAACUACGUG
This 497-nucleotide ribosomal RNA is filed under the name uncultured bacterium. Its description in RNAcentral is "partial 16S ribosomal RNA". It matches the Rfam family "Bacterial small subunit ribosomal RNA", at positions 28 to 507 of the family's 1533-position model. The record is from RNAcentral.